GAGGGGUGCGCUGGGAGGAUGAAGAUAGGCAGGGAAGCGUGUGUCCUGUUUGGCGGAGAGCGCAUGUCUGCGUCAAGAUAAUGGCUUCUGAAUAAAGCAAAGUGGUGGCGACAAUAGAAUUUGGAUUUAUCCAUCACCACAAACAAGCGUGGUUCAUCAUCCCCACCCCUGGCAUCCUAUGUCAGUACAAGAGAAUGGAGGAACAAUGCUUAGCAAAUAAAAUAAUGAAAAAGUUUGAAGUAUUCUGAAAAUGAAAAUUACCAAAUUGUGACAGAAACACAAAGUGAGCAAAUGAUGGAAAAAUGGCACCAAUAGACUUGCCUAAUGCAGCGUCGCCACAAACCUUGUAAAAAAUGCAAUAUCUGCGGUGCAAUAAAGCGAGGCACAAAAACAAGCCACAGUAAAACAAGUUCUACCAGAUGCUCUGGGUCCAAAUUCAAGAGCCAGGAGGUUACCUCUGGGAGGGUUUGAGAAGUGACCCGGAAGAGGACCCUGAGACCACAGUGCCAGCUAGGUAUCCAAAUUUGCUAUAACCCCCUACCUGUCUACCUUGCAUGGGGAGAGAACGAAUGGUGGAAUCAUGUCCCAGCCCUAGGCUCCAGAAAUUCCAAGAGUGUCACCUGGACUAUAGACAUGAAGCCCACUUCUGAAUCCUGGUAUCUACUGCUGCUAUUACAAGUCUCUCCUCUCCAGUUUUCCCUGCUAGACUUUGUUGACUAUGAAAAUAUAUGUAUUAAGAACUGUGACCUCAAUGUACACACAAAGGAGGAGCCUUUUGCCUUAUGCUUCAUGAUCCAGCAAA
Manis javanica (Malayan pangolin) is the source of this 802-nucleotide long non-coding RNA. RefSeq lists it as uncharacterized. NCBI's taxonomy places the organism in Eukaryota, Metazoa, Chordata, Mammalia, Pholidota, Manidae. The record is from RefSeq and is a predicted model, not a curated record.